RNAcentral lists this transfer RNA (137 nucleotides) under candidate division MSBL1 archaeon SCGC-AAA259O05. RNAcentral's name for it is "candidate divison MSBL1 archaeon SCGC-AAA259O05 tRNA". It matches the Rfam family "tRNA". Rfam says of the family: Transfer RNA (tRNA) molecules are approximately 80 nucleotides in length. Their secondary structure includes four short double-helical elements and three loops (D, anti-codon, and T loops). Lineage: Archaea; Methanobacteriati; Methanobacteriota. The record is from Rfam by way of RNAcentral.
GCCGGGGUGGCGCAGUAGGUAGCGCGCUCGGCUGUUAAAUCAAGGCAUGAAUGAAGAGCGAACCUCCAUUCACGUAAACUUGACAUGCCGGAUAUACGGCAACCGAGCGGUCGGAGGUUCGAGUCCUCCCCCCGGCG